RNAcentral lists this ribosomal RNA (345 nucleotides) under Scymnus fujianensis. RNAcentral describes it as "partial small subunit ribosomal RNA". The record is from RNAcentral. Lineage: Eukaryota; Metazoa; Arthropoda; Insecta; Coleoptera; Coccinellidae.
UUUAAAUGUAAUUUUAUAGACUGAAUUAUUAAUAGUUAUGUCCUUAAAAAUUAAAUAAUUUGGCGGUAUUUUAGUCUUUUCAGAGGAACCUGUUCUUUAAUUGAUAAUCCACAGUUUAAAAACCUUAAGUUAGAAAUUUACAUAUCAUCGUUAUUAAAUAUUUUUAUAGAAUUUAAUAUUUUAAUUAUUAUAUUUAAUUUUAAUUCAGAUCAUGGUGUAGUUUAUAUUUAAGUAGAAAUGGGUUACAAUUUGUUAAAAUUUGAUUAUUAGGUUAAAAUUUCUAUGAAAAUGGAUUUGAAAGUAAUUAAUUUUAUUUUUUAUUGAUGAUUAAGCUCUAAAAUAUGU